RNAcentral lists this ribosomal RNA (508 nucleotides) under uncultured Alphaproteobacteria bacterium. Its description in RNAcentral is "bacterial SSU rRNA". It matches the Rfam family "Bacterial small subunit ribosomal RNA", at positions 38 to 592 of the family's 1533-position model. The record is from RNAcentral. Lineage: Bacteria; Pseudomonadati; Pseudomonadota; Alphaproteobacteria.
GGCGGCAUGCCUAACACAUGCAAGUCGAACGAGACCUUCGGGUCUAGUGGCGCACGGGUGCGUAACGCGUGGGAAUCUGCCCUUAGGUUCGGAAUAACAGUUAGAAAUGACUGCUAAUACCGGAUAAUGUCUUCGGACCAAAGAUUUAUUGCCUAAGGAUGAGCCCGCGUAAGAUUAGCUUGUUGGUGAGGUAAAGGCUCACCAAGGCGACGAUCUUUAGCUGGUCUGAGAGGAUGAUCAGCCACACUGGGACUGAGACACGGCCCAGACUCCUACGGGAGGCAGCAGUGGGGAAUAUUGGACAAUGGGCGAAAGCCUGAUCCAGCAAUGCCGCGUGAGUGAUGAAGGCCUUAGGGUUGUAAAGCUCUUUUACCCGGGAUGAUAAUGACAGUACCGGGAGAAUAAGCCCCGGCUAACUCCGUGCCAGCAGCCGCGGUAAUACGGAGGGGGCUAGCGUUGUUCGGAAUUACUGGGCGUNAAGCGUACGUAGGCGGCUUUGUAAGUUAGA